AUUGAACGCUGGCGGCAGGCUUAACACAUGCAAGUCGAGCGGGGGAAGGUAGCUUGCUACCGGACCUAGCGGCGGACGGGUGAGUAAUGCUUAGGAAUCUGCCUAUUAGUGGGGGACAACAUCUCGAAAGGGAUGCUAAUACCGCAUACGUCCUACGGGAGAAAGCAGGGGAUCUUCGGACCUUGCGCUAAUAGAUGAGCCUAAGUCGGGUUAGCUAGUUGGUGGGGGAAAGGCCUACCAAGGCGACGAUCUGUAGCGGGUCUGAGAGGAUGAUCCGCCACACUGGGACUGAGACACGGCCCAGACUCCUACGGGAGGCAGCAGUGGGGAAUAUUGGACAAUGGGGGGAACCCUGAUCCAGCCAUGCCGCGUGUGUGAAGAAGGCCUUAUGGUUGUAAAGCACUUUAAGCGAGGAGGAGGCUACUUUAGUUAAUACCUAGAGAUAGUGGACGUUACUCGCAGAAUAAGCACCGGCUAACUCUGUGCCAGCCGCCGCAGUAA
Molecule: ribosomal RNA, 501 nt
Filed under: uncultured bacterium
Lineage: Bacteria
Description: partial 16S ribosomal RNA
Rfam family: Bacterial small subunit ribosomal RNA
Source: RNAcentral